This 1446-nucleotide ribosomal RNA is filed under the name metagenome. RNAcentral's name for it is "bacterial SSU rRNA". It matches the Rfam family "Bacterial small subunit ribosomal RNA". The record is from RNAcentral.
AGAGUUUGAUCCUGGCUCAGAACUAACGCUGGUGGCGUGUCUUAGUCAUGCAAGUCGAACGAGAAAGUGCCCUUCGGGGUGCGAGUACAGUGGCGAACGGGUGAGUAACACGUGGGUAACCUGCCUCCAAGCGGGGGACAACUCCUCUAACGAGGAGCUAAUACCGCAUAAUGCAUCGUUCUCGCAUGUGAAUGUUGCCAAAGGUGGCCUCUUCUUGAAAGCUGCCACUUGGAGAUGGACCCGCGCUCCAUUAGCUUGUUGGUGAGGUAACGGCUCACCAAGGCUACGAUGGAUAGCCGGCCUGAGAGGGUGAUCGGCCACACUGGAACUGAGACAAGGUCCAGUCCCCUACGGGGGCCAGCAGUCUAGAAAUUUGCACAAUGAACGAAAGUUCGAUGCAGCGACGCCACGUGAAGGAUGAAGCCUCUAGGGGUGUAAACUUCUGUCAGGAGGGAAGAAUGCGGAGGGGUGAAUAGCCUCUUCGUUUGACGGUACCUUCAGAGGAAGCUCCGGCUAACUUCGUGCCAGCAGCCGCGGUAAUACGAAGGGAGCGAGCGUUGUUCGGAUUUACUGGGCGUAAAGGGCGCGUAGGCGGGCUUGUAAGUCGAAUGUGAAAACUGUGGGCUCAACCGACAGACUGCAUUCGAAACUACAUGCCUUGAGUCUAGGAGAGGAGAGCGGAAUCGGCAGUGUAGCGGUGAAAUGCGUAGAUAUUGCCGAGAACACCGGUGGCGAAGGCGGCUCUCUGGUCUAGUACUGACGCUAAGGCGCGAAAGCUAGGGGAGCGAACGGGAUUAGAUACCCCGGUAGUCCUAGCCGUAAACGAUGGGCACUAGGUGUUGGAGGUGUUGACCCCUUCAGUGCCGCAGCUAACGCAUUAAGUGCCCCGCCUGGGGAGUACGGUCGCAAGUGUGAAACUCAAAGGAAUUGACGGGGGCCCGCACAAGCGGUGGAGUAUGUGGUUUAAUUCGAUGCAAUGCGAAGAACCUUACCAGGGCUUGACAUGUCGCGAAUCUCCUUGAAAGGGGAGAGUGCCUUCGGGAGCGCGAACACAGGUGGUGCAUGGCUGUCGUCAGCUCGUGUCGUGGGAUGUUGGGUUAAGUCCCGCAACGAGCGCAACCCUCGUCUUUAGUUGCCAGCAUUAAGGUGGGCACUUUAGAGAGACUGCCGGUGACAAACCGGAGGUAGGUGGGGAUGACGUCAAGUCAGCAUGCCCCUUACGCCCUGGGCUACACACGUACUACAAUGGUUGGGACAAAGGGCAGCGACCCCGCGAGGGAAAGCGAAUCUUAUCAAACCCAGCCUCAGUUCAGAUUGCAGGCUGCAACUCGCCUGCAUGAAGGAGGAAUCGCUAGUAAUCGCAGGUCAACAUACUGCGGUGAAUUCGUUCCCGGGCCUUGUACACACCGCCCGUCACACCAUGGAAGCUGGUCACGCCCGAAGUAU